GACCCCCAUCGUUCUCAUGGACUACUGGCUUUUUACUGGUUUUUAUGAAGAGAUUUGGCUUUUUAUUCUUGUAAUAUUUGUUAUCAGAGGUCUCAUCAUGGAUAAAGAGAGAGGCAAUUUAGUUAGGGCUGAUCGCUUUGGCUAUGUGAAGCGGGCUAUGCAUGGUACCAAUAUGCUGUCAACUAAGGCUGUAAGCGAGAUUUAUGGGAGAGAACUGGUUGAUCUUCGAA
Molecule: long non-coding RNA, 230 nt
Organism: Asparagus officinalis (garden asparagus)
Lineage: Eukaryota; Viridiplantae; Streptophyta; Magnoliopsida; Asparagales; Asparagaceae
Exons: 3
Source: RefSeq, a predicted model, not a curated record